GAUGAACGCUGGCGGCGUGCCUAAUACAUGCAAGUCGAGCGAACAGACGAGGAGCUUGCUCCUCUGACGUUAGCGGCGGACGGGUGAGUAACACGUGGAUAACCUACCUAUAAGACUUGGAUAACUUCGGGAAACCGGAGCUAAUACCGGAUAAUAUAUUGAACCGCAUGGUUCAAUAGUGAAAGACGGUUUUGCUGUCACUUAUAGAUGGAUCCGCGCCGCAUUAGCUAGUUGGUAAGGUAACGGCUUACCAAGGCAACGAUGCGUAGCCGACCUGAGAGGGUGAUCGGCCACACUGGAACAUAGACACGCUCCAGACUCCUAAGGGCGGCAGCAGUAGGGACUUUGCCGCAAUGGGAGAAAGCGUGACGGGGCAACGUGGCGAGAGUGAUGAAGGGCUUCCGAUCGUAAAACGCUGUUAUUAGGGAAGAACAAAUGUCUAAUGAACCACGCACGUAUUGACGGUACCUACUCAGAAAGCAACGGCUAACUACGUG
Molecule: ribosomal RNA, 497 nt
Filed under: uncultured bacterium
Lineage: Bacteria
Description: partial 16S ribosomal RNA
Rfam family: Bacterial small subunit ribosomal RNA
Source: RNAcentral